Long non-coding RNA from Oncorhynchus tshawytscha (Chinook salmon), 3541 nucleotides. Lineage: Eukaryota; Metazoa; Chordata; Actinopteri; Salmoniformes; Salmonidae. The record is from Ensembl.
CUGGCUUACAGGCCAUUCCCAGCAAUGCAGAGAGAAAAUAAUGGAAUAUUUUUAACAUGAGGAAUAAAUACACAAUGACUAAUGAUACAGUAACUUGGUUAUCUGCACAGGGUACCAGUACAAGGUCAAUGUAUGAUGUAAUUGAGGUAGAUAUAGUACCUUCUGAAAGUAUUAAAGCCUGAAUUCAAAAUGGAUGAAAUGAGGAAAUACAAAUCACCCAUCUACAAACAAUACCCCAUAAUGACAAAGUGAAAACAUGUAUUUGUAGUGACUGUAUUGAUACACCAUCCAAAGUGUAAUUAAUAAUUUCACCAUUGUCGUGCCGGAUGAAGUGAUAUGACAUGCUAUUCUAUAAAAUAAUUUUGCCGUAAUUAAUAUUACCUGAUUGAGCUAAUCAUGUAAAUGUUAUUAACUAGAGAGUCGGGCACCACAAAAUAAUAUUUAUAGAGCUGUUAUAUUCCGAAUAAACUCUUAAAGACCUAGUAAUAUUUUACAUCAAUAGCAGUCAAUAUUAAUUGUCAUCUUAAUUCAGUCUCAUCUGAAAGUUGUAAAUUCUUGGUUAUCUGCACGAACCCUGGCUAACAAGUUGAAUCAGCAAUACAAAAUUGGGUUUAAUUAUUUAUUUACUAAAUACCUGACUAAUCACACAGAAUUACACAUACACAUAUUUAAAUCAUAACUUGAUUACAAAUGACGUCAUAAAGGAAAACAGAUAUGACAGCUGGUUACACAAAAAAAAACAGUGACAAUCAAUCUCAAAUGAAUCCGUUUUAAAUUCAGCCUGUAAAACAACAAAAUGUGGAAAAGUAAAGUGGUGUGAAUACUUUCUGAAGGCCCUGUACGGACAUAUCGGUAGGUAUAAAGUGGUGUGAAUACUUUCUGAAGGCCCUGUACGGACAUAUCGGUAGGUAUAAAGUGGUGUGAAUACUUUCUGAAGGCCCUGUACGGACAUAUCGGUAGGUAUAAAGUGGUGUGAAUACUUUCUGAAGGCCCUGUACGGACAUAUCGGUAGGUAUGAAGUGGUGUGAAUACUUUCUGAAGGCUCUGUACGGACAUAUCGGUAGGUAUAAAGUGGUGUGAAUACUUUCUGAAGGCCCUGUACGGACAUAUCGGUAGGUAUAAAGUGGUGUGAAUACUUUCUGAAGGCCCUGUACGGACAUAUCGGUAGGUAUGAAGUGGUGUGAAUACUUUCUGAAGGCUCUGUACGGACAUAUCGGUAGGUAUAAAGUGACUAGGCAACAGAACAGAUAAUAAGUAGUAGCAGCAGCAUAUGUGAUGAGUCAAAAGAGUUAGUGCAAAAAGGGUCAAUGCAGAGACUGAAAUAUUUAGCCAAUAGCUACGCAGAUUGACUAUUUAGCCGUUUUAUGGCUUGGGGGUGGUAGCUGUUUAGGGUCCUGUUGGUUCCGGACUUGGUGCAAACAAUUUGUUGUUGUGUGUUUACAUUUUUAGGAGAAAAGAGAGGUCUGCAAACUUACCUUACAUUGAAAGCAGUGGCAAGAGGGUAUGACAAUUCACUGAAUAGAAUCAUUGUGUGUCUCAGUUGUAUAUUGAAAGGCAACAUUGUAUGGCCAUCUGGCCCACCUCACUGGGGAUGUCCUAGCUUUGACCUUGGUGGCUGUUGUGGCAGGCUUGUGGCAGUGUAUACCCUAUCACUGACACUGCUCAUCCCUAGCAGAGGAGACCAGCAUGUACUGUUAGUGCCAGGGUGGUCUGCUCUCGGAGGGGAAUCAGAGAACGAGUGAUCUACAGCAGUGCAGAUGGGAAGGAUCUAUUUUACCAGAGAGAGAGUGAGUGUUCCAUUGUGGGUAAGGGAGGCCUGAGAGAUAUAGUGGGAGAGAUUUUCCUGAUGAGGUGUUUGGCCGAUUCCUUUUAGACAUAGGAUUCUAAUGAUGCCAGCAUGUCUGGAUGAAUCAGGCUAGAAUUCCAGAUCAGUGCAGAGCCAAGCUUCCUUUAAGUAGUGACACAGUGGGGUACCGUGAAAUAUUGAGAUAUCGAACCUUUUGGUGCAUUUCACAUUAGCCAACACAAUUUGCUCUGUCCUUAAAGUGAUUGAUACAGAACACACAAUUCGUAUCGGUACAAUGAGAAACCACGGCAUCUACAGUAAUAUGCCCAGCAUAUAUCGUAUUGUCAUGUUGCCUCUGUGAGAUGUUGCCUUUUUAAAGAAAUGCUUGAUAUUUAAUCAAACAGAAAAAUAGAGAAUUUGAAGCUCCUAAUCAUUUUAUGUUUAGUUUCUGUGGAUGAGGACAAAACUAUAAUUUUUUCCAAGAUUAGUAAAAUGAAAAAGAAAUGUGUUGUGCUCUUCAGGUCUCUUCCUAAUGUAGGUGAAUGGCACUACGGCAAUAACGUCCCAUGAUAGUGGCAUGAUUGGCUGUGUCCUACCAGCACAACUACAACCAAACAGCACCAUUACGUUAGACUCAUGUCUGGCUGGUCAUCUGGGCGUGUAGGCCAAUGUCAAUUGAUGUUCUUCCAUUUUGAACAGGCUUUUCAUGUCAUAAAUAAUACUAUCCUCAUGAAUAUUUCAAGGCAGUGUGUAUCAGGUAUCCUUUACCACCACUGUGACCCUUAACCUGUGUGCUCAUUGUGGUCCACAUGUCACUAAUGAGAGAAGUUAGUAAAUCAAUACUUGGUUUCAAAAUGCAUGAGAGGAGACUGUCCAGGAUAUCAAAAACAUUACCCCAUGUGUACUGUAACUGAGCUACUAGACCGGUGCAGUGUUUUGGAAUUGUAGUGGGUUCCAUUUUGUCAUGAUGUUAUUUGGGCAAGGCACAGGGAGUAUAAAAUGGUCUCCAACAACAUUCAAUUUAGCUUUAGAUACAUAGAUGCUGAGAAUAUACAGUAUACAACAAAUCUUUAUUUUAGUGGGAAUUUAAUCUGUGCAAACCAUUCCUUCUCUGAUAACGCACUACUCCAGCUGUUCAACUACAAAAGUGGGUCGAAAUUGCACAAGCCUGUUUAUUCCUUUUUGGUCUUGUUCAAAACCCCAAACAUGUAUGGGUGCUUGAAUAGAUGAUUGUUGAUCUCCAGCAGAGUGGGCACUCAUUAAUGCAACUUUUGUGAAUUCAAGGGUGGCCAAUCACUUCUCACAUGAAUGAACUCCCCUGUCCAUUUUUGCAAGAUAUCAUUGUGACGAAAUCAAAAGUUAAUCCCCCCUUUAAAAAAAAAAGUAUUCUGAAUUUGAUGGUGCAUACGGAGGUAAAGAUAUGUUUUAUUUUUUAACCUUCGGGAACCUCUGGGAAACAAUCUUAUUUACAGUGACAACCUGGCAAAGGCUCUUCAGAGAUGUUUUGUUUUGUCUGUUUUGUAAAAAUAAAAAAUAAAAACAAGUGGUUAAUUUACUGCAGCAGUACAUUUUCAUGAAUAACCCACAUUGUUUAUAGUUAAAAACAUUUCCACUGCAUAGUGGCCACAUGAGUGAUUGUGGCAUUCCUGUUAAACAUUGUAUUUAUCUAGCCAUGUAAAUUUGAGACUGGAGUAUCUUUCACACCGACAGCCAAUAGGAGUAAUGAUUAUUUUCAUCCCAAAUAGUGUUUCUUAC